AUGGCCCAGGAAGGCAUCACUGCUGGAGGUGUCAUGGACCUUAAUACUGCUUUAUAAAGGUCCCAAAGGCUGCCCUCAUCCAUGAUGGCCUAGCACAUGGAAUUUGAGGAGCUGCCAAAGUCCUAGACAAGCGCUGGGCACAUCCUUGUGUGCUGCCCCCAGCUGUGAUGAGCCUGCCUAUGUGGCUGAAGACCCUUGGUGCUGAACACCGGAUCACCCUAAUUACAGUUGAUGACAAGAAACUAGGGGAAAGGGUGAGCCACUGUAAAACUGACAAAGGGAAAACCCCAUAAGGUGGUUAGUUGUGGUUGCGUAGCAUUAAAGACCAUGGCAAAGGAUGUCAUCAAAGAGGUUUUUUUUUUGU
This 364-nucleotide long non-coding RNA is filed under the name Homo sapiens (human). RNAcentral describes it as "non-protein coding lnc-ZFYVE1-2:1". The record is from RNAcentral. Lineage: Eukaryota; Metazoa; Chordata; Mammalia; Primates; Hominidae.